UGGGGAAUCUUGGACAAUGGGGGCAACCCUGAUCCAGCCAUGCCGCGUGAGUGAUGAAGGCCUUAGGGUCGUAAAGCUCUUUCGCCUGUGAAGAUAAUGACGGUAGCAGGUAAAGAAACCCCGGCUAACUCCGUGCCAGCAGCCGCGGUAAUACGGAGGGGGUUAGCGUUGUUCGGAAUUACUGGGCGUAAAGCGCACGUAGGCGGACCAGAAAGUUGGGGGUGAAAUCCCAGGGCUCAACCUUGGAACUGCCUUUAAAAGCUGCUAGUCUAGAGACCGGAAGAGGUUAGGGGAAUACCUAGUGUAGAGGUGAAAUUCGUAGAUAUUAGGUGGAACACCAGUGGCGAAGGCGCCUAACUGGUCCGGUACUGACGCUGAGGAACGAAAGCGUGGGGAGC
RNAcentral lists this ribosomal RNA (398 nucleotides) under uncultured bacterium. RNAcentral describes it as "bacterial SSU rRNA". It matches the Rfam family "Bacterial small subunit ribosomal RNA", at positions 355 to 769 of the family's 1533-position model. The record is from RNAcentral.